GGCUGGUCUGAAGGUAGUAGUGAAUUAGCUCAACUGAUUGUUCACAGUCAGUUACAGAUCAAACUCUUCUACUCUUUCCCCUCUUCUCACUACUGCACUUGACUACUCUUUA
RNAcentral lists this Y RNA (112 nucleotides) under Pongo abelii (Sumatran orangutan). Its description in RNAcentral is "Y RNA (ENSPPYG00000028697.2)". It matches the Rfam family "Y RNA". Rfam says of the family: Y RNAs are components of the Ro ribonucleoprotein particle (Ro RNP), in association with Ro60 and La proteins. The Y RNAs and Ro60 and La proteins are well conserved, but the function of the Ro RNP is not known. In humans the RNA component can be one of four small RNAs -- hY1, hY3, hY4 and hY5. The record is from Rfam by way of RNAcentral. Lineage: Eukaryota; Metazoa; Chordata; Mammalia; Primates; Hominidae.